AACGCAUUAAUGUGUAAGCUUUAAUCGGAGAGAUUUGUACAAAGAAAGUGGCUGAACAGCGCGCUUGAUCCUUGUAGCACUGUCAUCAUGCUUGCGUCUGUUGAUAUUCCAGAGUAUCUUGUUAGGCUGAGGUAUGAAAAAGGAAAGCAUUUGAGUUGGCAUCCUAUUGAAAUGGAUUUGAGAGAUAAUAUGGUUUUCACAGUAGGAUUUAGAGAAACAGUAAAAAGCAUGUGAAGGUAAAGCUAUGCGUUCUUUUCCUACAUUUUCAUCAAAACUCAGAAUCCGCAUACUCUCCUUAAAGAAAAAUAUAUACCACAUACUUUAAAUGAAAUUGUUCCUAUUAUUGCUGCAUAUGAACAUGUUUUCUCCCGGAAGUGAUCUAAAGGAACCGAGAGGUUAUAGCAUUCUUCUCACCAUUGUGGAUUUCAUGAGCAAUCAAGAGAAUAUUCAAAGUUGCAUUUGGACUCAGAGGUUUGUUUUCUAUAUAUUAGCGUGUGUGAUGUCUUGUGAUGUCGUGUGACUCGCAUAGC
Pyrus x bretschneideri (Chinese white pear) is the source of this 530-nucleotide long non-coding RNA. RefSeq lists it as uncharacterized. The record is from RefSeq and is a predicted model, not a curated record. NCBI's taxonomy places the organism in Eukaryota, Viridiplantae, Streptophyta, Magnoliopsida, Rosales, Rosaceae. The transcript is spliced from 3 exons.